This 12798-nucleotide long non-coding RNA is filed under the name Lathyrus oleraceus (garden pea). RNAcentral's name for it is "Pisum sativum (pea) long non-coding RNA (PSAT_LNC030583)". Lineage: Eukaryota; Viridiplantae; Streptophyta; Magnoliopsida; Fabales; Fabaceae. The record is from RNAcentral.
CUUGCGUUGGUUAAUUCCUUUGGUAUUCCUGAUGCUUUUUUGAGCCCUAUGGCAUACAACUGGGUGGAGUCAAAUUCUUGGUCUUCUGCUCAACAUUAAUCCCUGAUGCCAAUUUCUGCACGUGAGGCGUAUCAUAUGCUUAUGUGAUUCUUUAAUUUAAUUUCCCAGAUGGUUUUUAUUUGCAAAAGAAUUUUCCAUAUCAAUAAGGAAAUGUGAAUAAUAUUUGUUACUUUAUAUGUAAUAGCCGUUGGAAUAUAUUCAGAUCUGAUGAAUACUUUUACUGGAACAUGACAAUAUUAAAUUGCAAUAUUAAAAAUAAUCCUAUACACGUCUAAAUACUUCUGUAAAUGCUAUUAUAUACUCAAUUUUGAUGAUAUAUAUGAGAAAAAUAAAGCUCAACAGCUUGUACCAAACAAAUUUUUUAACAGUUAAACCGGUCUCAUGGUAAGACAAAUCGUCUUGUGGCUCUAAUAAUAUAAAAAAUUAAAUUAAUAAAAAGUCUCAUAUUUUACUAUUUUUAAAAUUAAAGGUAACAAAAUUUUAUAUACAAUUAAUAUUGUUAGUUGACUUUAAUAUUAAAUUAAAAAUAAUAAAUAAAAUUCAAUACAUAAAGUUAUUAAAUAAUUUUAUAUUCUAAAACAUAAAAAUAGCAUUUAAAUCAAAAUUUAGUACUAACUUUAUAUAUAUAUAUAUAUAUAAUAUAUAUAAUGUAUAUAUAUAUAUAUAUUAUAUAUUUAUAUAUAUAUAUAUAUAUAUAUAUAUAUAUACUAUAUAUAUAAAUAAUAUAUAUAUAUAUAUAAUAUUGGUUUUAGUACUUUUAUAAAUUGAAAAAUAUUAGAAUCAGUAGAAAGUUUAUUUUCUUAAAUAAAUUUUAAUUUACAAUUCUUUUUUAGGAGAUCUAGUCAAACAUUAAAAAAAUCAAACAUAUUAAAAUUAAUUAUACACCUUUUUAAAAUUAUUUUUGAUUAAAAAAAUAAAAAUAAAGAUAACUUAUCAAAAUUUUAAAGUAUGUAUUUUUUUAAUCAUUAUAUAUUUAUUUUUUUGUAUUUGCACCAUUAAAUUCACUUUCUUCUAUUAGAUUUAUAUUUUCUCUUAUUUAUAUCAAUGACAUACUUUCCCCAUUCAUUAUUUUAUUUUAUAUACAUUUCAAUUAGUAACAUAUUAAUUUAGUUCAAUAAUUCACUUUUUCUCGUAAAUUCUUUUGUGUUUGCAUCAAUCAAACAGAAAAAAAAAUAGUCGUAUCAACCAUAUAUUUUUUAUUAUUAUAAAAAUAUUUAAAUCAAAAAAUUUAUUAUUUUCCCAUUUCUAUAAAAUGAUUAGAAAUCAGAAUAUAUAAUAAGGGUGUAAGAAAGAAUAAGCAUCAUUAAACUAAACAAAAUAAAACUAUAAAAUAAUACCAUAAGUAAAAAAAUAUAUCAAUGAAUAUGAAAAAAAAAGAUGAAACCAUUUUAUCAUUAAUAUAAAAUUUUAUGUGUUACUAUAUAUAUCUAAGUUGUAGCCAAAACUCAAAUUAUAGUUAUGAUUUGCGUAGUACUUUAGCUAACCAAGUCAGUGUUAUGUUAAUUACUUGGUAGUAACUUAGUUAACAAGUAACUUUUAUAUAUAUAUAUAUAGUAAUAUAUAUAUAUAUAUAUAAUAUAUAUUAUUAUAUAUAUAUAUAAUAAUAAUAUAUAUAUUAUAUAAUAAUAUAUAAUAUAUAUAUAUAUAUAUAUAAUUUUUACAAUAACAUGAUUCAAUAAUAAUAAUAUUUAUUCUUCAUUCUUUCUCUUUCUCUCAUCACUAAAAGUGUCUCAUGCACUAACAAAUUUGUAUCUAGAGUUCAAGUUAGUUUCUUUAUCGUGUUUUCAAGAAUCAAACAUCGGUGAUCGUGUUUCAGGGAUCGUGGGUUGUUAAUCGUGUUUGCUGCAAAGAUGAAUGAUAAUAAUGGUAUUCUGAAUUCUCUUUCAAUUCUUGAUGGCAAGAAUUUGAUCUAAUGGAGAAAAUAAAUGCAAUCUCAGUUUGGCUUUCAUGAAACCCUAGAAGUGGUUACUAAUGACAUCCCUGAGCUUGCUGAGAACGCAACUGAUGCUCAGAGAGUCACGAACAAGGAGACUAAGAAGAAAGACUGCAAGACUGCGUUUUAUAUUCAAUUGGCAGUAAACACGGCGAACUUUGAUCGAAUUUCUCAUGUUGAAUCGGCGAAGGAGGCAUGGAAUAUUCUUGUCAAGUAUUUCGAAUGAGGUGAGAAGGUUAAAGUCAUCAAAUUGCAGUUGUUACGAAGGCAAUAUGAAUUACUACAGAUGGGAGAAUUUUUUUUUGCAUGCUAUGUCUCGAAGAUGUAGAAGCUUGUUCAUCUCAUGAAAGAUUGUGGUGAAACCCUAACUGAUAAGAUGAUAGUUGAGAAGGUAAUGUGUAAAUCAACCUCUCACUUUGAUCAUGUUAUCGUUGCUAUUCAAGAAUCCACCUAUCUUGAAACAUUGAAAUUGGAAAAUUUGAUUGGUUCGUUGGAAGCACAUGAGACGAGGAUUAUCGAAAGGAAAUGUGUUCAAGAUUCAAUACAAACUCUAUAGGCUUAAACAUGGAAGAAACAUCGUGGUUCCAACAAGUUCAAGGGCAUAUGAGACAAGACUCAGAGCAAGAAAAGUCUUGGUCGAACCCUCAAAAGUAUAAGAUCGAUGAUAUGCAUUCUGAAUCCUCGAAAAAAGAAGAGGGAAACUCAUAUUAGAAUGACAAAGACGAGAAAUAAGGUGUGCAGUGCUAUAGUUGCGAAAAAUGGGAUCACCUGGGUCUAUUCAAAAUUUUAAAAGAAUAACAACAAACCUAUAAAGUGCAUCAAACCGAACUUAAAAUAACCAACUUGUUGAUGAUAUAUAUGAACUGAUCAUAAUUUAUCUAUCAAUCUUCCAACUCAAUAAACUAUACUGAAAAUAUUUGAGAAUAAAACAUGUUCCUAUAUGACGUUAAAAAGCUAAAAAUAUUGGUAUAAAAUUUAUAUUUUGAUAUGAUUGACUGAAUUGAGAGAAUGUUUUACGAAAAUAACCCUGUUUUUCAAGAAAAUUCCCAAAAUAACCAUGUUUAAAAAAAAAAUCCCAAAGUACCCCAUGUUUAGAAGGAGGCGCCAAUCCAAUUGGCGACUCCUCUUAAAAAUAGAAUGGAGGUGCCAAUUGAAUUGGCUAGGGCACACGGUGCAGCCAAUCCAAUUGGCGCCCAUGUGUAUCAGUUGAAAUGAGGCACCAAUUGGAUUGACACCUCAGUGUAAAAUUCAAUUUUUUUGUUAAACGGUUUACGUGAUACAUAAUUUCGAAAUAGGACCAAUUGAUAUUAAUAAAAAUUUCCGUUUACACAAAAAAGCCUAAUGGUGAUGACCGAGAUCACCUAACCGACCUCCGGUCCCACAUCCCCUAGCUAUCCUAACCCGCGUUGAUGAUUCACCACUGGUGUUUGAGCAUCACUACCAACUAUAGGAUAUGGCCUGUUGAUAUAGUCAGACAAAUCGGCAUAGUCUUCAGUAUGCAUCGAAGGUGUACCGCCAUAACUGAGUUCAUGACCCAUGCCAGAGUAGUUGGGUUGUGUUUGACUCAUUGGUGGGCGACCGAGACGAUUGAAGGGAGACAUGGGUGUGAAUGAUGCGUCGAGGAAAGGCUGGAAAGGUUGUUGGGGUGUUUGGUAGAGAUAAGGUUGUUGGAGGUUUUGGUUUUGUGAGGUUUGGGAUUCUUGGCUAUGGUAGGAGGAUGGGCGGUUGGUGUUGAAUGAUCGUUGGGUGUUCUGGCUAAGGCGGCUUUGGUAGGGUGAUGUGUUGGGUAGGAAGCGAUGUUGGGUCUCUGGUUGAUGAUCAAUUUGUUGGUGGUGGUAUGAGGUAUGCUCUUGGUAUUGGGGUUGGGUGUAUGGCAUGUUUGGGUUGUAUGUUUGUGUGUUUGUGGAACAAAAGGUUUGACGGACAGGGGUGUGUGUGUGUAUCUGGUCUGACAAUGUUGUUGGGGGUUAGAUGUUGAGGUGUCUGAUGUGUAAGUUUGUUGGCAUGGAUGGUACAAGUACAUAUCCUCGGUGAUGAACUGAAAACCAACCGAUCUGUACCAAGUCAUAUAAGUACGACUUGGUUUUUCUUCAUUUGGCAUCACUGCGUCAGUUAAGACAUGGUCAUGGUAGUGCUUCCAUUUGCGACACUCAUAUCUUGCAAAGCUUUGCCAUGGAUUGAAGUUCCAUUGGUCGUUAACUUUGCGCAGAUGCCAUUCUCCUAGGCUUGCUGGGGGAUCUGGGAUGUUUUGGGGCAUACUGAACUGCAACUUCACACAAUCACUAUUGUGCAUCUCCACAAUUGUGAAUCUUAUUAUCGGUGUGCAUGCAGUCCAUACGGCUGUGUCUUCAGCGUUGACCUCAUGGUCAUGAUCCAAAUUUAGGUAUGGACGCCAAAUGAACUAAAAUGUGAAAGUAACUUGGAUUAUAAACUUGGUAGAAGAAGUUAACAAAUUAUAACGAAAUAAUGAGGUUAUUAUCCUUACGUUUGUCGGUCGAAGGUGAUCCAACAGAUUGCGAUACUGGGUAAUACAGUGUCUAGGACAUCUGUUAUAACUCAUACCAUGUGCCGCCCAUCUACACCAAAAAGGUAAAAAUAUUAGUUAUAGAUAAUAAUCGUUAAAGAAGUAAGUAAAUAUAUCGCAAUUUAAACAACUUACUUUUGUGCAUACAUGAAUGUGAAAGGGUUGUUGUUGACGGGUGCUAGGGAUGGUAGUCUUGACUAACCCCAUGCUUGGAGUAAAACAGCGCAUCCAGAAAAGGUAGAUGUGUGUUUGUGUGAGUUUUUACACAAAGAGCUAUAAAGAUAGGCCAGACAAGCGGAUCCCCAACUGUAAAUUCCUAUUCUAUCUACAUGUCUUAGUAAAGGUAAAUACAUAAUAUGCAUACUAGAACCACUACCUUCGGGAAAUAAAAAAGAACCAAUUAAAAGCAUAAUGUAACACCUAGUUUUUAUUAUUCGAGCAGGUAAAUACAUAAUAUGCAUACUAGAACCACUACCUUCGGGAAAUAAAAAAGAACCAAUUAAAAGCAUAAUGUAACACCUAGUUUUUAUUAUUCGAGCAUCUUCGGUAGAAUGCUCAUCUAAGUGUAGAUUGUUAUAAUAUGACUUAAGGCGUGAAAGGAGUAUACCUUGACCUCUUGAGUUAUCAUCUAACAAAUCAGUCUCCAAGAGGUCCAUGCAAAUUGAAUUUGCAUAGUUGGUUUUAACAUUUACAGCCUUACCUUCAAUGGGCAGUCCCAAAAGCAUAUAAACAUCUUCUAACGUCACGGUACACUCACCGGUUGGGAACCAGAAUGUGUGUGUCUUAGGACGUCAUCUUUCGCAUAAAGCAAGAAUGAAUUUAUUAUCCACCGACCAAGACAUAAUUUUGCUAAUAUGUCCAAAAUCGGCGAGUUCAACAUAAGGUUGAAUCAUCGGGUCCAUGUUGACAUAUUCGUGGACCCGAGUACGGAACCUUGAAACAUCCUAUAAAAGAAAGAACAAAAAACUUUACUAAGUUGAUAUGUUAUUAAAAUAUACUCUAUUAAAACAAAUAACAAAACAAUAAAACGCUUACAUAAGUUGCUAUGUUUGCAACUAUUCCUCUAUGCAAUUCGCCCAUUGUGAGGAUAAACAUCUUGUCGGAGAUGAAAGCGGUUGGUGCAGAUGAAAAAGGUUGUUGCAGAUGAAAGAUUUGAUAUUGUAGAAGAAGUAGUGAGUGAUGGUGUGGAAUAAGUGUUGAUGGUGUGGAUGAAUUUAUAGGCAAAAGUUUGGAGCAUGGAAAAUUGUGUUUGCAUAUGGUAGCCAAAUGAGUUGGCGCCCAUGUGCAUUUUGUACAUGGUGUCGCCAUUCAAAUUGGCGCCUCCAUAGGUACAUGCAUGACACACCUAAGUCUGAAUGCUUGGUUACGAGGUCUGCAUGCAUGCAAGACAUGAUGUCGCCAAAUGGAUUGACGCCCAUGUGCGAGGAUUGUAAGGAGGCGCCAAUUCAUUUGGAGUGUGUGCUUGCAUGUGUGACACAUGGCUUUCCUCUCUCUAGCAUGCUGGACAUGUCACUUUAGACUAGCUUGCAUGUUUGACACAUCAUUUUGGACUAGCUUGCAUGUGUGACACAUCACUUCAAACUAGCUUGCAUGUGAGACAAACCACUUACCUAUUUAAGUGUCUUACUAUCAACAUCCAACACUCAACACACAUUCAUCUGCAAUAAGAAAAUAAUUUUCAUCAACACCAUAAAUAUUACAAUGUCAUCUUCACCAAAAUAUAGUGUCAAUGUUCACUGCAAUGGUGAAACAUACGAGUAUGAGUUAUACAGAUUUUGUUUUUGAAACACCGAUACCAUUCGACUUACGAUCAAGAGAAAUGCAACCUUCUUGCAUUUGAAAAAAAGAAUACAAUCCUGUAUAGGAUCGGGUAUUGUGUCAAAGAUCACGUAUCAAAAUCCAAUAUUUUAUACCAUUCGACUUACGAUCAAGAGAAAUGCAACCUUCUUGCAUUUGAAAAAAAGAAUACAAUCCUGUAUAGGAUCGGGUAUUGUGUCAAAGAUCACGUAUCAAAAUCCAAUAUUUUUUUAGAACAGUUAAUGGAAGUUUUUCCCGCUUAAGGUACGGGAUGAUGAAGAUGUUGAAUACAUGUUUGUUAGUCAUGAAAAUUCAGGCUGCAAUUGUAUUGAGUUGUAUAUUACUCUUCAACCAUGUAUACCAUCUCAGCAGUCUCAAAUAACCAGUCAGGAUGAAUCUGGUGAAUUUGAUCCAUAAUGCUCAGAUGACGUCAACCCAGAAGCAGGAGCAGAAGUGAACAUCGUUGAUGAAGAAGAAGAGGAGACCGAGAUACAGGUCGAUCAUAUGUUGAACAACGACAUUGAAGACGAUGAUCAACCACCGCCAAUACCUCCUAGUCAUGUCUACAAUCCGCCUCAACAUAUGACAAACAUGGAUCGGCAUGACGAUGAAACAUCCAACAAUGUUUUCUAUAACCCGUAUCCACGAUCAGAAGGCGAGUUAAAGGUGGGAGACAUGUUCCGCACCAAAGAAGAAUGUAUGCGAGCUAUCAAAAAAUUCCACAUGAACAACUCUGUUGAUUUUACAGUGAAACACACUGAUUCGAGAAGGUAUAUCAUCGAAAGUCGUAACAUCCUUUAUAAGUUUUGGUUGGCUGCUUCUUACAAAAAGAAAAACGACUCUUGGGAGAUAGCUUCAAUAGACCCACCUCACAAUUGCAUUGCAACUAAUGUUAAACAAGAUCACCUUAAAUUAAGCGUUGCAUUGAUAUGUCAAGACAUUCUGCCGUUGGUUAAUAAAGACCCAUUAGUGAAGGUGAGUAUAAUUAUAUCCUAUAUCAGAAUAAGAUAUGAUUAUACUCCAUCUUACAAGAAAACCUGAAUUGCAAGGACAAAGACUGUUGAAUAGGUAUUCGACAACUGGGAGGAUUCGUACAAAGAAUUGCCACGGUUUUUAUGGGAACUAAAAACAUAUGUCUCAGGAACCGUGGAAAUUAUGGAGACAUUGCCAGCAAUGAUGCCAGACGGAACCUGUGUUACAAGUAAUAAAAUCUUUCACCGUCUCUUUUGGGCAUUUGACCCAUGCAUCAAAGGUUUCGCAUUCUGCAAACCUAUUAUUCAAAUUGAUGACACUUGGUUAUACAACAAAUACAAGGCUACUUUGCUUAUGGCGGUUGCACAAGACGGCAACAAAAAUGUCUUUCCCAUUUCCUUUGCUCUGGUUGAAGAUGAAACGGCUGGUAGAUGGGAUUUCUUUCUUCGACAUCUCAGAAUGCAUGUGGCUCCACAAGUCAAUCUCUGUUUGAUUUCUGAUAGACAUGCUGCCAUUGAGAGUGCCUACAACAACCAUGACAAUGGGUGACAUGAUCCUCCUUCUACCCAUGUCUAUUGCAUUAUACAUAUUGCACAAAACUUCAUGCGUGCAAUAAAAGAUAAGAAUAUUCACAAGAAGGUGGUGAAUAUUGGGUAUGCUCUAACUCAGCUGUCAUUUCAAUAUUAUCGUGAUGAAAUUAGACUGUCUAAUGAAGAUGUAGGAAGAUGGUUGAAUAACAUACCAGUAGAGCAGUGGACAAGAGCAUUUGACGGAGGUUGUCGAUGGGGCCACAUGAUAACAAACCUUGUGGAAUGCGUGAACGGGGUAUUCAAAGGAAUUAGGAAUCUGCCAAUAACCACCUUGGUAAGAUCGACCUAUUAUAGGUUGGCUUCUACGUUCGCAACCAAAGGUGAAAGAUGAAGUGCGAUGUUAAUGUCUGGGAAAGUAUUUAGUGAGUGUUGCAUGAAAGUCAUGAAAGAUGAGAGCAUCAAAGCUAGCACACACGUCAUAACAAUCUUUGACCGUCAUAGGUAAAAUUUCAGCGUCCAGGAAACAAUGAACCAUAACGAGGGGAAACCAAAUUUAGCCUAUGCUGUUAGACUAAACAGAAGUUGGUGCGACUGUGGAAAAUUCCAAACCUUCCGCAUUCCUUGCUCCCAUGUCAUUGCAUCAUGCGCAUAUACUCGUCAAGAUGCUUACAACCAUUUAUCUGAUGUGUACAAGACCGUCACCGUCAUGAAUGUAUAUAAUAAAAGCUUCUCGGUGCUACCAAUGGAGGAAUACUGGCCUCCAUACGAAGGUGAUAUAGUUUGGCACAACGAUGAGAUGCGUAGAAAGAAAAAAGGAAGGCCAAACAACACAGAUAUCAGGACAUAAAUGGAUUCGACUGAUAAAAUGAUAAGAUUAUGUAGUAUCUAUCGUCAAACAGGACACAACAAGAACAACUGUCCCAAUCGAGGAGCAUCAUCUGGGUCAUAAGCUUUUUGUAACAUUGUAUUUUUGUAACCUUCAAUUAUUAUAUAUCAUUAAGUUUUUGUUACAACAAGGUUCACAACAAACAUUAGUACAAAAUAAGCUAACUGAAAACAGAAAUAUUUCUAACUGAUUACAACAAUCAAAGUGAUGUCAUCUCGACCGAACAUCAUUUCCCUAGCAUCCUUAUCAGUUCUCAUUCGCACCCUACGAAAGAUACUAUUGAGUCUAUUAAUACUUAUAAUUUUUCCCCCUUCUGCUAUUUUCCCAUCUAACCAACAAACCAACUCCCUCUUCAGUUGAUUGAACAUAGUGAUGUUCCAGAAGAGCAUCAACAUCUGAGGUUUGUCUCUCGCAUAAAUCACAUUUCCGUAUCGGUGACGAAUACCAAACAUGAUUGCCAAAUGAUGAAAUGAGAUGUGAAAAAAUGAUUCACACAACACAUCUAUUUAUAACAAAAAAAAUGCAUUUUACACUGAGGUGUCAAUCCAAUUGGCGUCUCCUUUGUAAAAAUACACAUGAGUGCCAAUUGGAUUGGCUGCACCAUGUGCCCUAGCCAAUCCAAUUGACGCCUCCACUCUAUUUUUAAUAAGAGUCGCCAAUUGGAUUGAUGUCUCCUCCUAAAAGUGGGGUACUUUGGGAUUUUUUUUGAAACCAGGAUUAUUUUGAGAAUUUUCUUAAAAAAUUGGAUUAUUUUGAUAAAAAAUUCGAAUUGAGAGUGAUAAUGGUUUUUAUCACUUUUUGAUAUGGCAUUGAAAAACUAAAUAUACUUUUAUAGUUAUCAUAGUUAGUUAUAAUUUAUAUUUGUCAUUGAGAAGCUAAAUAUUAAUGUUUUAAAACUCGAAUUCGUCAUUAUCCCAAUCAAACUAUUAGGUCACUAGGUUAAUGGUCAGACUAAUGAUCACUGGUCGAACCGCAUAACUUCUAAUUCAACUAAUUCAAGUUAUACAAAUAAAAAAUUCAUAAAAUAAAAAUCUUGACAUAAUUUCAUAACUAUAAAAUCUACAAAAGAAAAUUCUAUAAAUUUAUCCAUACAAAUAACUUGAAUAACAAACUUUAGUAAAAUUCCAACUUCCAAACAUAUAAUAAUUUAUUGAUGCUCAUAAAUUAUCAAAAAUUGAAAAAGUAAUUGUUUGAUAUCAUAAUACCAUAAACUAGUCAAUUAAUUUAGAACAUAAACAAAUAUUAAAAAUAUAGAGUGAAAGAUAAAAAUCUAAAAAUAAAAACGUUAGUAAGAAUAAUGUGACUUUUACUUUAAAAUAAUAAUGAAAUUUAUAGUGAAAAUAAUGUAAAAAUUUAAUUCUAUCUUCCAUUGAUAACAUAAUUCUUUUUCCAAAUAAUGAGAUCAUAUUAAAAAUAAUGUGAAAAUAUAAUUUUAUUUUUCAUGAUUUUUUUUCUUUAAAACUUUUGUUAAUUUAUAGUAUUAUUAAAUCAUAUAAUUAAUUUCAUACUUUUUAAAUUUAUUAUAUUAUUAUAUAGUAUGAUUAAUAAUAAAUAGAUUUAAUGAGAAUACAUUAGAGAGAAUUAUUGUAACUAUAGAAUAUAUAACUCUUUUCUCUUUGACCAAAUUAAACAUCAAAGGGAUUCAUGAUGUCAUUGAUAAAACUACAAUCCUAAUAGUUUUGAAAGGUUAAAUUUCCGAUUUUAAAAUUUGACAAAAUUUCAUAUUUAUAAUUUUAACAUUAUUUAAUUAUUAUAAAAAUUUUAUAUAAUCAUAAAUAUUAAUAAAAUUAGAUUUUAAAAUAUGAACACCAAAAUUUUAAAAAAAUGAAAAUAGGGGAUCAAAAUUAUAAUUAAGCUAAAACAUAAACCUAAAAAGAUCAACCCUCCAGAUCAAGAAAUUCACUAGUUCAUUGGUCUGACCAGUGAACAGGACGAUUCACACCGAUUUUCAUCAGGUCAAUUGCAACUAUGGUUCGAUGAACUUAUCAGACCACUCUAUCCUCCGAUUUAAGAUCUAAUCGGUCUGACCGAUCGGAACGGUCUGGGUUUGAAAACACUACUAAAUAAUCUUUUGUAAUUUUAAAUUAGUGUAGUAUUAUUGUCUACAGAGUACAUGACCCGCACCAAAACUGACAAUAAUUACUUGUAGGGGAGACAUGCUUGUAGAAUAUUGCUAGUGUAUGGGUAUUUAUUGUAACUUUUUGAGCAAAAGUUAAAAAACAAAGUACAUUUCAAUUUUCAAAUUAAAAAGCUAGAUAAGCCUUGAAAAAAAAUGUAAUAAAGUGAAUGUAUAUUGAUACACAAAAAGACACAGCAUAACUUGUUCACAUUGAAAGAGGUUGGAGAAAAAAAGAAUAUUUAUCUAUCAUUGUCAAAUAUUAAAUUAAAAGUAUAAUAAGUUAAUAAUAAUAAAGAUUGUAAAGAGAAAGAACCUUUCACCGAUUUCUGCAUUUUUAGCUAACGAGAAUUUGAUGAGAAAAGUUGAAGAUGAAGAAAAUGUAAUACAACAUAACUUGUUCACAUUGAAAGAGGUUGGAGAAAAGAACUUUUCACUCCUUUUUUUUACCCGUGUGAAAAAUCAAAACACAGAAAGAGGUUGGAGAAAAUCAAACCAAACACAAAAAUAAAUCAAAGAGGUUAAUUUAACCAAAGAACAUAAUAGAGAGAAUGUGUUGUUGCUAAAGAAGGGUAUAAAGAGAGGUUUAUUUCCAACUUAGUGACAUCAUGAAAAAAUAGAAAAUCUCAUAUGAAAAAAUAGUAAAAAAAUCAGACAUGUUCAUCGAAAAAGAAAAUAGUAACAACGAAAAUAAAUGGACAUGAAAAAAUAUUUAUUUUUACCUGACUUAUCUUUAAGAUCUCUUACUUGAAUUCAUUGCUAAACUUAAUGUAUUGUUUCGCCAUCUAUUGCAAAUAAAAAAUAAUAAACACUUAUUAUGUGUAUUGAAGAAGAUUUCUCAUAAGAACAAAUAAAAAAAUAGAGGAUAUUAAUUGAAAAAGUAAGCAUGACUUAUAUUAUUAAUUAGAACAAAAUCAUGAAAAAAUAAUAAAAAAUAGAAAAUCUCAUAAGAAGAAAUCAUAAACAAUUAUAGAAUGUUCAUGAAAAAAGAAACAAUAAUAAUGAAAAUAAAUGGGCAUGAAAGGAGAUUGCUUUUUAUCUAACUCAAUUUUGAGAUCUGUUACUUGAAUCUUGGCUCAAGUUUGAGAUAUGUUAUGUGAAUGCAUUUUUAUCCCCAAAAUAAGUUAAAAAAUAUGUAAUAGAAACUGAAGCGAAAAAGGAUACAUAAUUGAAAUGAAAAGAAAUCCUGUAAAAAAAUGUCAAAACCGUGUAACACAAGAACAACAUUGAAAGGAAAAAUUUAAUAAAAUACGUUAUCCCUAAAUAACAAAAAAAAGGUGAAAAUAAAAAAUAAUUGAUUAGGAAUACAAGCUAGUUAAAUGAAGAUGAAAAAUAUUAGCCUUCGUAAUGCAAAAAAAAAAAACAGAGAGAUAUAGACAGCUUACCUAGUUGACCAGUUAAAGAGAUGAAUGAGAUGAAGUUUGCAGAGAAAGUUGUAAAUGAGGUUUAUAGAGAAGAUUUGAAAUUGGUUGGAAAGGUGAAGGAGAUGAGAAUUGUUGAGAAAUUUGGAAAUAGGUUGGAGAGAUGAAAGAGAUGAAGUUGGCAAAGAAGGUUUCUAGAAUGGAUUUUUGAAGUAGGUUGAGGAGAGAAGGAGAUGAAGGUGAACAAAUAAAGAUGAAGUUAGAGUUUUGAUAUUGAAGAAAAUAUGAGUGGUAUUAAGAAAGAUGAAAAGGUUUAUUCUUUCAAUAAUGUGAAAUGUGUAAAGAAAUGAUGGAAACCUGCAUAGUCGUAUCUUGGAAGUAGAAAUAUGAAUAAAGUCCAUUUUUUAAUUUUGACAGGUAUGAUUUGUAAAAUGAAAAGGCAUGGAAGCAUAAAGAAGCAAUAAAAAAUUCAAAUCAACAUCAUGUAUUGACAAAGAAAUUUAUGAAAAAGUGCAUAUGAUAAUUCAACACUCUACCGAUGGGAGUUAAAAUAAUUGAGAAAAUUUAGUACUUUCAUUCCAAACUAAUAGUUAUUGCAAAGCCAAAUUAAGAUUUAGUU